CCUACGGGUGGCAGCAGUGAGGAAUAUUGGUCAAUGGGCGGGAGCCUGAACCAGCCAAGUCGCGUGAAGGAAGAAGGUACUUAGUAUUGUAAACUUCUUUUGUCGGAGGACAAAGGCGGAGACGCGUCUCCGGCUGAGUGUACCCGAAGAAAAAGCAUCGGCUAACUCCGUGCCAGCAGCCGCGGUAAUACGGAGGAUGCGAGCGUUAUCCGGAUGUAUUGGGUUUAAAGGGUUCGCAGGCGGGAGAUCAAGUCAGAGGUAAAAUGGCGGGGCUCAACCCCGGCCUGCCGUUGAUACUGUUUAUCUAGAGGUGGAGAGAAGUAUGCGGAAUUCGUGGUGUAGCGGUGAAAUGCAUAGAUAUCACGAAGAACUCCGAUUGCGAAGGCAGCAUACCGGCUCCACACUGACGCUGAGGCACGAAAGCGUGGGGAUCGAACAGGAUUAGAUACCCUAGUAGUC
Molecule: ribosomal RNA, 459 nt
Filed under: uncultured bacterium
Lineage: Bacteria
Description: partial 16S ribosomal RNA
Rfam family: Bacterial small subunit ribosomal RNA
Source: RNAcentral